GAUGAACGCUGGCGGCGUGCCUAAUACAUGCAAGCCGAGCGAACGGACGAGAAGCUUGCUUCUCUGAUGUUAGCGGCGGACGGGUGAGUAACACGUGGAUAACCUACCUAUAAGACUGGGAUAACUUCGGGAAACCGGAGCUAAUACCGGAUAAUAUUUUGAACCGCAUGGUUCAAAAGUGAAAGACGGUCUUGCUGUCACUUAUAGAUGGAUCCGCGCUGCAUUAGCUAGUUGGUAAGGUAACGGCUUACCAAGGCAACGAUGCAUAGCCGACCUGAGAGGGUGAUCGGCCACACUGGAACUGAGACACGGUCCAGACUCCUACGGGAGGCAGCAGUAGGGAAUCUUCCGCAAUGGGCGAAAGCCUGACGGAGCAACGCCGCGUGAGUGAUGAAGGUCUUCGGAUCGUAAAACUCUGUUAUUAGGGAAGAACAUAUGUGUAAGUAACUGUGCACAUCUUGACGGUACCUAAUCAGAAAGCCACGGCUAACUACGUGCCAGCAGCCGCGGUAAUACGUAGGUGGCAAGCGUUAUCCGGAAUUAUUGGGCGUAAAGCGCGCGUAGGCGGUUUUUUAAGUCUGAUGUGAAAGCCCACGGCUCAACCGUGGAGGGUCAUUGGAAACUGGAAAACUUGAGUGCAGAAGAGGAAAGUGGAAUUCCAUGUGUAGCGGUGAAAUGCGCAGAGAUAUGGAGGAACACCAGUGGCGAAGGCGACUUUCUGGUCUGUAACUGACGCUGAUGUGCGAAAGCGUGGGGAUCAAACAGGAUUAGAUACCCUGGUAGUCCACGCCGUAAACGAUGAGUGCUAAGUGUUAGGGGGUUUCCGCCCCUUAGUGCUGCAGCUAACGCAUUAAGCACUCCGCCUGGGGAGUACGACCGCAAGGUUGAAACUCAAAGGAAUUGACGGGGACCCGCACAAGCGGUGGAGCAUGUGGUUUAAUUCGAAGCAACGCGAAGAACCUUACCAAAUCUUGACAUCCUUUGACAACUCUAGAGAUAGAGCCUUCCCCUUCGGGGGGGCAAAGUGACAGGUGGUGCAUGGUUGUCGUCAGCUCGUGUCGUGAGAUGUUGGGUUAAGUCCCGCAACGAGCGCAACCCUUAAGCUUAGUUGCCAUCAUUAAGUUGGGCACUCUAAGUUGACUGCCGGUGACAAACCGGAGGAAGGUGGGGAUGACGUCAAAUCAUCAUGCCCCUUAUGAUUUGGGCUACACACGUGCUACAAUGGACAAUACAAAGGGCAGCGAAACCGCGAGGUCAAGCAAAUCCCAUAAAGUUGUUCUCAGUUCGGAUUGUAGUCUGCAACUCGACUACAUGAAGCUGGAAUCGCUAGUAAUCGUAGAUCAGCAUGCUACGGUGAAUACGUUCCCGGGUCU
Molecule: ribosomal RNA, 1373 nt
Filed under: uncultured bacterium
Lineage: Bacteria
Description: bacterial SSU rRNA
Rfam family: Bacterial small subunit ribosomal RNA
Source: RNAcentral